RNAcentral lists this ribosomal RNA (1076 nucleotides) under seawater metagenome. RNAcentral's name for it is "bacterial LSU rRNA". It matches the Rfam family "Bacterial large subunit ribosomal RNA", at positions 917 to 1976 of the family's 2925-position model. The record is from RNAcentral.
GGCUAGGGGGUCAUCCCGACUUACCAACCCUUUGCAAACUCCGAAUACCAAUGAGUGAUAUGCGGGAGACACACUACGGGUGCUAACGUCCGUUGUGAAGAGGGAAACAACCCAGACCGCCAGCUAAGGUCCCAAAGUACUAGUUAAGUGGGAAACGAUGUGGAAAGGCAUAGACAGCUAGGAGGUUGGCUUAGAAGCAGCCAUCCUUUAAAGAAAGCGUAAUAGCUCACUAGUCGAGUCGGUCUGCGCGGAAGAUGUAACGGGGCUAAACUAGUCACCGAAGCUGCGGAUUCAAUCUUAGGAUUGAGUGGUAGGGGAGCGUUCUGUAAGCCGUUGAAGGUGUGUUGUAAAGCAUGCUGGAGGUAUCAGAAGUGCGAAUGCUGACAUGAGUAACGAUAAGGGGAGUGAAAAACUCCCCCGCCGAAAGACCAAGGUUUCCUGUCCCAUGUUAAUCAGGGCAGGGUAAGUCGGCCCCUAAGGCGAGGCGGAAACGCGUAGUCGAUGGGAAACAGAUUAAUAUUUCUGUACUUCUAUAUAUUGCGAAGGAGGGACGGAGUAGGCUAGGUGAGCACGGCGUUGGUAGUCCGUGUGAAAGUAUGUAGGUGGUUAGUUUAGGUAAAUCCGGACUUUCAUUCAACACUGAGAUACGAGACGAGACUCUACGGAGUUGAAGUCAUUGAUGCCAUGCUUCCAGGAAAAGCUUCUAAGCUUCAGAUAUAUAGGAACCGUACCCCAAACCGACACAGGUGGUUAGGUAGAGAAUACUAAGGCGCUUGAGAGAACUCGGGUGAAGGAACUAGGCAAAAUAGUACCGUAACUUCGGGAGAAGGUACGCUCUCUAAUGUGAAUGACUUGCUCAGUAAGCAUCGGAGAGUCGAAGUAACCAGGUGGCUGGAACUGUUUAUUAAAAACACAGCACUGUGCAAAAUCGAAAGAUGACGUAUACGGUGUGACGCCUGCCCGGUGCCGGAAGGUUAAUUGAUUGGGUUAGUCCUCGGACGAAGCUCAUGAUCGAAGCCCCGGUAAACGGCGGCCGUAACUAUAACGGUCCUAAGGUAGCGAAAUUCCUUGUCGGG